GGGACCCGUCUUGAAACACGGACCAAGGAGUCUAGCAUGUGCGCGAGUCAUUGGGAUUUUUACUAAACCUAAAGGCGCAAUGAAAGUGAAGGUCCGCCUUGCGCGGACCGAGGGAGGAUGGACCGUCCCGAGGGACGGCCUCGCACUCCCGGGGCGUCUCGCUCUCAUCGCGAGAAGAGGCGCACCCAGAGCGUACACGCUGGGACCCGAAAGAUGGUGAACUAUGCCUGGUCAGGACGAAGUCAGGGGAAACCCUGAUGGAGGUCCGUAGCGAUUCUGACGUGCAAAUCGAUCGUCGGAACUGGGUAUAGGGGCGAAAGACUAAUCGAACCAUCUAGUAGCUGGUUCCCUCCGAAGUUUCCCUCAGGAUAGCUGGCGCUCGUUUCUCGCGAGUCUCAUUCGGUAAAGCGAAUGAUUAGAGGCAUUGGGGUCGAAACGGCCUCAACCUAUUCUCAAACUUUAAAUGGGUGAGAUCUCCGGCUUGCUUGAACUGUGAAGCCGCGAGUAUCGGAUCAGAGUGCCAAGUGGGCCACUUUUGGUAAGCAGAACUGGCGCUGUGGGAUGAACCAAACGCUGAGUUAAAGCGCCUAAAUCGACGCUUAUGGGAUACCAUGAAAGGCGUUGGUAACUUAAGACAGCAGGACGGUGGCCAUGGAAGUCGGAAUCCGCUAAGGAGUGUGUAAA
RNAcentral lists this ribosomal RNA (684 nucleotides) under Serica sp. BMNH 678376. Its description in RNAcentral is "eukaryotic LSU rRNA". It matches the Rfam family "Eukaryotic large subunit ribosomal RNA", at positions 644 to 1286 of the family's 3401-position model. Lineage: Eukaryota; Metazoa; Arthropoda; Insecta; Coleoptera; Scarabaeidae. The record is from RNAcentral.